Molecule: long non-coding RNA, 560 nt
Organism: Dreissena polymorpha
Lineage: Eukaryota; Metazoa; Mollusca; Bivalvia; Myida; Dreissenidae
Exons: 3
Source: RefSeq, a predicted model, not a curated record
CAUUACAAUCACUUUUAUAAGAUGCGACUUUAUUAAGCAUGAAAGCGAUAUUUUAAGCAGUUAUAUAUUCCAUUAUGUUCAAACAAGAAUGGAUUGUUUUGUUUUUACUUGGAUGUUUACAAAGUGGAUACGCAGGCGCAGACCCAACCCGGAUCCCUAUCUCGGCAAUCAAUGCGACAACAAAUGGUACCGCAUAUUCAACCUGGACAGCAGAUAGAGUCAACGAUGGUUUGAUACAUAGCAAAUCUAUAUAUGCUUACGCGGGCGAUUGCAAUUGCUGCACUGCCUUGGAAAGACCAUCUUGGCUGCAAAUGACACUGGACAAAAGAUAUCUUGUGGAACGAGUUCUCUUGAUUGGACGUGAAGAUAUACAUACUGGUCAGUUUGAUGUACUGGAUGUGUCAGUGGGUCUAAUGAAUGGUCCCCUUCAGGGCGAACAAUUUACUUCGACCAAUGAGACUGUUAAGGAGUUGAUACUGACUCCUCCACGUGUAAUAAGAGUUGUACGAGUUACUGGGGGUGGCAGAAGCGACGUAAUGACAAUAUGCGAGAUUAUGAUA